AGAGUUUGAUCAUGGCUCAGGAUGAACGCUAGCUACAGGCUUAACACAUGCAAGUCGAGGGGAAACGACAUCGAAAGCUUGCUUUUGGAUGGGCGUCGACCGGCGCACGGGUGAGUAACGCGUAUCCAACCUGCCCACCACUUGGGGAUAACCUUGCGAAAGUAAGACUAAUACCCAAUGACGUCUCUAGAAGACAUCUGAAAGAGAUUAAAGAUUUAUCGGUGAUGGAUGGGGAUGCGUCUGAUUAGCUUGCUGGCGGGGCAACGGCCACCAAGGCGACGAUCAGUGGGGUUAACUGAGAGGAAGGUCCCCCACAUUGGAACUGAGACACGGUCCAAACUCCUACGGGAGGCA
RNAcentral lists this ribosomal RNA (354 nucleotides) under uncultured bacterium. RNAcentral's name for it is "bacterial SSU rRNA". It matches the Rfam family "Bacterial small subunit ribosomal RNA", at positions 8 to 350 of the family's 1533-position model. The record is from RNAcentral.